This 512-nucleotide ribosomal RNA is filed under the name uncultured archaeon. RNAcentral's name for it is "bacterial SSU rRNA". It matches the Rfam family "Archaeal small subunit ribosomal RNA", at positions 332 to 845 of the family's 1478-position model. The record is from RNAcentral.
GCAGCAGGCGCGAAACCUUUACACUGCACGACAGUGCGAUAAGGGAACUCCGAGUGCGAGGGCAUAGAGCCCUCGCUUUUGUACACCGUAAGGUGGUGUACGAAUAAGGGCUGGGCAAGACCGGUGCCAGCCGCCGCGGUAAUACCGGCAGCCCAAGUGAUGGCCGAUAUUAUUGGGCCUAAAGCGUCCGUAGCUGGCCGGACAAGUCCGUUGGGAAAUCCGCGCGCUCAACGCGCGGGCGUCCAGCGGAAACUGUCCGGCUUGGGGCCGGAAGACCUGAGGGGUACGUCCGGGGUAGGAGUGAAAUCCUGUAAUCUCGGACGGACCGCCUGUGGCGAAAGCGCCUCAGGAAGACGGACCCGACAGUGAGGGACGAAAGCCAGGGUCUCGAACCGGAUUAGAUACCCGGGUAGUCCUGGCUGUAAACGAUGUCCGCUAGGUGUGACGCAGGCUACGAGCCUGCGCUGUGCCGUAGGGAAGCCGUGAAGCGGACCGCCUGGAAGUACGUCGCA